Patella vulgata (common limpet) is the source of this 653-nucleotide long non-coding RNA. RefSeq lists it as uncharacterized. The record is from RefSeq and is a predicted model, not a curated record. The transcript is spliced from 5 exons. Lineage: Eukaryota; Metazoa; Mollusca; Gastropoda; Patellidae.
AAGGCCGAGAGAACACGUCUGUCAAGACAAGACUGCCAAGAGAUCUAACAAUAUGGAAGGCGUAAAGAUAUUGUUGGUGUUGUGUUUAAUAUUGAAAUGUUGUAACUGCUGGGUAAAUCAAUAUGAUGGACCACUAUCGUAUGAAUGUCUUCCCGGACAAGUGCUUACUAAAAUAUUCAGUCAACAUAAUAAUUAUUAUCAGGACAGACAAUGGGAUUUCCAGUGCGCCAACACGGGUGUUUUAGCACCAUCGGGUUCAUGCCACUGGACUAAUCAGGUCAAUCGGUAUGAUAGAGGAAUGGAUUUUAAAUGUCCAGGUACAGGUGCAAUAACCGGUAUCAGGGGUACCAAUAACAACUAUUAUGAGGAUAGGCAAUAUGACGUCAAAUGUUGUGAUGUACAGACACCGGCCACGUCAAAUUUAUGUACAAUGAGUCAAUUUGUAAAUAGAUAUGAUCAAGCGUUUGCUUACGAUAUCCCGUCGCAUAAAUACCUAACCGGGAUAUACAGCGAGAACAAUGAUUAUUAUGAAGAUCGACGUUUUAAGUUCUAUCUAUGCGAUCGUCCAGAAUGAUGAUUUGGAAUUGCUAAUCCAGAAUGAUACUUUGCAAGCCUCUCUUUAAGAGAAUGAUAAAAUAAAAAUGCAUUUCAAA